RNAcentral lists this ribosomal RNA (434 nucleotides) under uncultured Oscillospiraceae bacterium. RNAcentral describes it as "bacterial SSU rRNA". It matches the Rfam family "Bacterial small subunit ribosomal RNA", at positions 341 to 792 of the family's 1533-position model. Lineage: Bacteria; Bacillati; Bacillota; Clostridia; Eubacteriales; Oscillospiraceae. The record is from RNAcentral.
ACGGAAGGCAGCAGUGGGGGAUAUUGCACAAUGGGGGAAACCCUGAUGCAGCGACGCCGCGUGAGUGAAGAAGUAUUCCGGUAUGUAAAGCUCUUUAAGCUGAAAAGAUAAUGACGGUACCAGCAGAAUAAGCCCCGGCUAACUACGUGCCAGCAGCCGCGGUAAUACGUAGGGGGCAAGCGUUAUCCGGAUUUACUGGGUGUAAAGGGCGUGUAGGCGGGACUACAAGUCAGAUGUGAAAGCACGAGGCUCAACUUCGUGUCUGCAUUUGAAACUGUAGUUCUUGAGUGUUGGAGAGGCUAACGGAACUCCUAGUGUAGCGGUGAAAUGCGUAGAUAUUAGGAAGAACACCAGUGGCGAAGGCGGUUAGCUGGACAAUAACUGACGCUGAGGCGCGAAAGCGUGGGUAGCAAACAGGAUUAGAUACCCUGGUA